GUGGGGAAUAUUGGGCAAUGGGCGCAAGCCUGACCCAGCGACGCCGCGUGAGGGAAGACGGUCUUCGGAUUGUAAACCUCUUUCAGCAGGGAAGACAAAAGGACGGUACCUGCAGAAGAAGCCACGGCUAACUACGUGCC
This 140-nucleotide ribosomal RNA is filed under the name uncultured bacterium. RNAcentral describes it as "partial 16S ribosomal RNA". It matches the Rfam family "Bacterial small subunit ribosomal RNA", at positions 354 to 509 of the family's 1533-position model. The record is from RNAcentral.